GGAGCUAUCAACCACUCAGCCAUCUCUCCA
Molecule: transfer RNA, 30 nt
Filed under: Kalopanax septemlobus
Lineage: Eukaryota; Viridiplantae; Streptophyta; Magnoliopsida; Apiales; Araliaceae
Description: partial tRNA-Ser
Source: RNAcentral